GAUGAACGCUGGCGGCGUGCCUAAUACAUGCCAGUCGAGCGAACGGACGAGAAGCUUGCUUCUCUGAUGUUAGCGGCGGACGGGUGAGUAACACGUGGAUAACCUACCUAUAAGACUGGGAUAACUUCGGGAAACCGGAGCUAAUACCGGAUGAUAUUUUGAACCGCAUGGUUCAAAAGUGAAAGACGGUCUUGCUGUCACUUAUAGAUGGAUCCGCGCUGCAUUAGCUAGUUGGUAAGGUAAUGGCUUACCAAGGCAACGAUGCAUAGCCGACCUGAGAGGGUGAUCGGCCACACUGGAACUGAGACACGGUCCAGACUCCUACGGGAGGCAGCAGUAGGGAAUCUUCCGCAAUGGGCGAAAGCCUGACGGAGCAACGCCGCGUGAGUGAUGAAGGUCUUCGGAUCGUAAAACUCUGUUAUUAGGGAAGAACAUAUGUGUAAGUAACUGUGCACAUCUUGACGGUACCUAAUCAGAAAGCCACGGCUAACUACGUG
RNAcentral lists this ribosomal RNA (497 nucleotides) under uncultured bacterium. Its description in RNAcentral is "partial 16S ribosomal RNA". It matches the Rfam family "Bacterial small subunit ribosomal RNA", at positions 28 to 507 of the family's 1533-position model. The record is from RNAcentral.